Molecule: ribosomal RNA, 253 nt
Filed under: uncultured bacterium
Lineage: Bacteria
Description: partial 16S ribosomal RNA
Rfam family: Bacterial small subunit ribosomal RNA
Source: RNAcentral
UACGUAGGGCGCAAGCGUUGUCCGGAAUUAUUGGGCGUAAAGAGCUUGUAGGUGGCUUGUCGCGUCUGCCGUGAAAACCCGAGGCUCAACCCCGGGUGUGCAGUGGGUACGGGCAGGCUGGAGUGCAGUAGGGGAGACUGGAAUUCCUGGUGUAGCGGUGAAAUGCGCAGAUAUCAGGAGGAACACCGAUGGCGAAGGCAGGUCUCUGGGCCAUUACUGACACUGAGAAGCGAAAGCAUGGGGAGCGAACAGG